Molecule: transfer RNA, 75 nt
Filed under: Acidobacteria bacterium RIFCSPLOWO2_12_FULL_66_10
Lineage: Bacteria; Pseudomonadati; Acidobacteriota
Also listed under: 3 other names
Description: tRNA-Glu
Rfam family: tRNA
About the family: Transfer RNA (tRNA) molecules are approximately 80 nucleotides in length. Their secondary structure includes four short double-helical elements and three loops (D, anti-codon, and T loops). Further hydrogen bonds mediate the characteristic L-shaped molecular structure. tRNAs have two regions of fundamental functional importance: the anti-codon, which is responsible for specific mRNA codon recognition, and the 3' end, to which the tRNAs corresponding amino acid is attached (by aminoacyl-tRNA synthetases). tRNAs cope with the degeneracy of the genetic code in two manners: having more than one tRNA (with a specific anti-codon) for a particular amino acid; and 'wobble' base-pairing, i.e. permitting non-standard base-pairing at the 3rd anti-codon position.
Source: RNAcentral
GGCGGUAUCGUCUAGGGGUCAGGACACGUGGUUCUCAGCCACGGGACCGGGGUUCGAUUCCCCGUACCGCUACCA